UAGUAAUGGCAGAUAUGAUGAAAUAGCUGGGGGACACGCUGGGCCUCACACUAAGUGCAAUGGAAGGCAUGCAGUCAGCGCGUGGAUAGAAACGCCCUUGGUAGAUCCUGGGGCAUUGUAUGUGGGCCCUAAAAGCAUAGCCUGCCCUUCGCCUUUUCAAUGGUAUGUGCCUGGAUAUUUCUCCAGUCAGCAUCUAGUGCUAUACACAGAAUCCAGAAUUUUCAGUUAUUUUCACUUUUCAAAUCAACUUUUUGUUCAGUCUCAUUGAACUCCCACUUUUGGUGGAUUUCUGACUGUCUGAUGCUGUUCCAUUAAUCCCAGGAGGAAUGGAUUCAUGAUCAGAACAGAGGUGAGGAGUUGAAAGUUCAUGGAAAAUGAAAGUUCUGAUAUUAUUCCAUAAUUUAUAGUGUGGAUAUUGCUGUUAUACAAAGGGAAUCUGUUGGUAUAGAUGUGUAUAUUUUCAAAAGAAUUAAAUGGCUGAGUUUUUCCUCAGUGGG
RNAcentral lists this long non-coding RNA (497 nucleotides) under Cairina moschata (Muscovy duck). RNAcentral's name for it is "domestica (muscovy Duck (domestic type)) lncRNA (ENSCMMG00000005502.1)". Lineage: Eukaryota; Metazoa; Chordata; Aves; Anseriformes; Anatidae. The record is from RNAcentral.